UACGUAGGGUGCAAGCGUUAAUCGGAAUUACUGGGCGUAAAGCGUGCGCAGGCGGUUGUGCAAGACAGAUGUGAAAUCCCCGGGCUUAACCUGGGAACUGCAUUUGUGACUGCACGGCUAGAGUGUGUCAGAGGGGGGUAGAAUUCCACGUGUAGCAGUGAAAUGCGUAGAUAUGUGGAGGAAUACCGAUGGCGAAGGCAGCCCCCUGGGAUAACACUGACGCUCAUGCACGGAAGCGUGGGGAGCAAACAGG
This 253-nucleotide ribosomal RNA is filed under the name uncultured bacterium. Its description in RNAcentral is "partial 16S ribosomal RNA". It matches the Rfam family "Bacterial small subunit ribosomal RNA", at positions 524 to 776 of the family's 1533-position model. The record is from RNAcentral.